AUGUUUCAAGGGCUGACAGACAUACUGCUCCUGCCUUCCUCACAGUGGGAAAGGUCUGCAGCUGGUUGUUUGCGAGAUGCAAGAUCCGCAGGUGUGGAUGCCCAGUCAGGACAGGGAUGCACUGAUCUGUCAGGAGGUUGUUGGUCAGGUAAAGUAGCUGCAGCAUGCUCAGGCUCUCCUCCCCAGUGCAUGCAGAAGGCAAGAACUCCAGACUAUUUGCAGAUGCAUUCAAGUAUCUGAGACUGACACAACAGAGAUCAUUUCUUUUGUGUUUGUUAUCUUUUUAUGUAAGAACUACCAUAUUCUCUGAGUAUGAAAUGCUGCCAUUCCA
Molecule: long non-coding RNA, 331 nt
Filed under: Cavia porcellus (domestic guinea pig)
Lineage: Eukaryota; Metazoa; Chordata; Mammalia; Rodentia; Caviidae
Description: lncRNA (ENSCPOG00000038174.1)
Source: RNAcentral